GAUGAACGCUGGCGGCGCGCCUAACACAUGCAAGUCGAACGGUUAAAGCACCUUUUAGGUGUGUAUAAAGUGGCGAACGGCUGAGUAACACGUGGGCAACCUGCCCUCCUCUUGGGGAUAGCCUCGGGAAACCGAGGAUAAUACCCGAUACUUCAAUGUGGCCGCAUGACGACAUUGAGAAAGCUUUUGCGGAGAAGGAUGGGCCCGCGGCCUGUUAGCUUGUUGGUGGGGUAGAGGCCUACCAAGGCAAUGAUGGGUAGCUGGGUUGAGAGACCGACCAGCCAGAUUGGGACUGAGACACGGCCCAGACUCCUACGGGAGGCAGCAGUGGGGAAUCUUGCACAAUGGGCGAAAGCCUGAUGCAGCGACGCCGCGUGCGGGAAGAAGGCCUUCGGGUUGUAAACCGCUUUCAGCAGGGACGAGGCGAAAGUGACGGUACCUGCAGAAGAAGCCCCGGCUAACUACGUGCCAGCAGCCGCAGUAAUACGUAGGGGGCAAGCGUUAUCCGGAUUCAUUGGGCGUAAAGCGCUCGUAGGCGGUCUGUUAGGUCGGGAGUUAAAUCCGGAGGCUCAACCUCCGCCCGCUCCCGAUACCGGCAGACUUGAGUUUGGUAGGGGAAGGUGGAAUUCCUAGUGUAGCGGUGGAAUGCGCAGAUAUUAGGAAGAACACCAGUGGCGAAGGCGGCCUUCUGGGCCAUAACUGACGCUGAGGAGCGAAAGCUAGGGGAGCAAACAGG
This 736-nucleotide ribosomal RNA is filed under the name uncultured Atopobium sp. RNAcentral describes it as "bacterial SSU rRNA". It matches the Rfam family "Bacterial small subunit ribosomal RNA", at positions 28 to 776 of the family's 1533-position model. The record is from RNAcentral. Lineage: Bacteria; Bacillati; Actinomycetota; Coriobacteriia; Coriobacteriales; Atopobiaceae.